UUGCUUCAGCGGAAGGGACGGCUGCCCGGGAAUCACUCACUCAGCGUUGGCUUUUGUUUUAGAGGACGCGACGACACUGCAGGAAUUCACUCACUCGCUGUGCGAAUCCGACGCUGGUAGGUGAGCUUUAACCUGUUGUGCCGACACUACAGGGAUCUUCUUCCUUUUAUAUGCUAUCCUAUGCUUUUGCUCCGUGCGAAAGCACACACUCUCUGGCCUCCUCUUCUGCUCUCUAAGUCUCUAAGAACAUUGAGAAAGAAAAACUCACUAGGUACUUUAACUCGUGAUUUAGCGCGAUUUAGAGUUGGAUUUUGAAUAUGCUGAAGUUGAACAAAAGAUAGAUCAAGGCAUUAUUUCAUCACCUUUUGUGUCAUUUAAAGCUUCAGGAGUAGGAUUUGCCUAGCGAAGUGAAUUACGAAGUUGAUCAAGGUAAAAUAAUUCAUCUUAGUAGCAAACAAGGAGGAGAUGAAUGAUUGAAGAAUUUGUAUUUCAAUCUUCGCUGUCCUUUUUGAGGUUACGGCUGAAGUGCCAGUGGUUUUGCAGGGGCCCCAUGACGCCGGCCACCGUUGCCACCUAUUGUUGAACCCAAAUAAUGAUAAUGAUCCUCGAACUUUCAGACUUCAAACCGAUCACAUCAUCCGAAGACCAAUUACGUUCGGACGCAUCCCUUUUGACAUCCCUCAUUGACUGGUGGAGACCUGAAACCCACACCUUUCACUUUCGUUUUGGGGACCUUGCACCUACAUUGAAAGAUGUUUCUAGGAUCACUGCUCUACCAAUUAGAGGUGAGUCGUUAGUCUCUGAAUGAGUGUCUCCAUCUUGGGCAUUAAAUAUCUCAGCCCGUAUUGGGAUGACAAUGCUAGAAUCACAACGUUCUGGUGGCACUUGGGGCGUCCCACUCGCCUAGCUUUGUGCAAACUUUAAUUGUUUAUCUAACCAUGCUGAUUCUCAGACGAGGAAAAGACAUCUGUUUACGUAUUUGUUGUGGCUCCUCGGGACUAUGUUUCCAAAUUUACACUGGGACGUAGUUCUCCCUGGUCUCGUCUACUUUGUAGAGAAUAUGGUAGAUGAAUCUUUACUUCAGCAUCAAAAAUACAACUUCGAUUUUUCCAUGCUAUCUCAUACAUAUAGAGGCUUGUGUGAUGCCACACAGAAAACUUCGUUCGCAGAAAAAGCUCCGUUACUUUGUGUCACCUAUGAGUUUAUAUAGUUAUGGUCAUGGGAAUACCUCCCUGUUGGACGACCUCGUAUACUAAAUCCCAUACAUUGAUACGACUGUAGCGAGGGCAAUGUAACUAUGGCCAGCAGGUGGACAAAGGCACGGAAAAAAUGGUCUCCAAAUAUUGCGAAAUUUUGUUACCCUAUAUACCACCAGCAGUUUGAGAUGCUUGAUGGGUCACUAGUCACAUGGAACCCGUGGACUCAGGAGCAGUUAUAGAUGGUCUUCGAUAUACGACCCAUCACAACAGGAUGCGUGAGCAAUAGUGCAUUCUGGCUGACUAGCUACAACUUAUUGUUCCUGUGGUGUGUUGAGCCUUACAACCCAGAGCAUGUCAUGAGACAGUUCGGUCUCUAUUAGGAUAUUCCACCACCUUUUUCAAGAUGUAUCGACGAAGGAAACCCAUAAGUAAGAUGUGACCUCCCUAAAUAGUUAGUGUCUUCUUUAAUAUACUAAAUUGACACUUUGGUACAUAAUUUGCAGGCUGAGCAAUAUGGGCAAGGGUCGUUACGAUUGGAGGGCACACAACAUUGAAUGGGAACACAAGUGGGAAAUGAAGUGCUAGAAGAUAUAGUGCAUCAACUUAGGUAAAUUUUAUUUACAUUAUUUUAUAAUGAUGACCAUACGAUGCGUGUAGAUGCUUUGCUUUCAUCUCAAAGGUUAAUAUAAUUAUUUAAUUGCGUAGACCAUAGCUGCACGCGGUCUGCAGAAUUAAAUAAUUAUAUCAACCUUUGAGAUGAAAGUGAAGCAUCUUCACGCACCGUAUGGUCAUCAUUAUAAAAUACAGUAAAUAGAAUUUACCUAAGUUCAUGCACUAUAUCUUCUAGCACAUCAUUUUCCCACUUGUGUACCCAUUCAAUGUUGUGUGCCCUCCAAUCAUAACCACCCUUGCCCAUAUUGCUCAGCCUGCAAAUUAUGUAACGAAGUCUCAGUUUAGUAAAUUAAAAAAGACACUAACUAUUUAGGGAGGUCACAUCUUACUUAUGGGUUUCCUCGUCGACACAUCUUGGAAAAGGUGGUGGAAUAUCCUGAUAGAGACCGAACUGUCUCAUGACACGCUCUGGGUUGUAAGGCUCAACACACCACAUGAACAAUAAGUUGCAGCGAGUCAGUCAGAAUGCACUAUUGCUCACACAUCCUGCUGUGAUGGGUCGCAUUUCGAAGACCAUCUGUAACUACUCGUGAUUCCACGGGUUCCAUGCGACUAGUGACUCAUCAAGCAUCUCAAAAUGUUGGUGGUUAUAUAGGGUAACAACAUUUUGCAAUAUUUGGAGACCAUUUUUUCCGUGCCUAUGUCAACCUGCUGGCCAUUGUUACAUUGCCCUCGCUACAGUUGUAUGGCUGUAUGGGAUUUAGUAUACGAGGUCGUCCAACAGGGAGGUAUUCCCAGUACCACAACUGUAGAAACUCAUAGGCGACACAAAGUAACGGAGCUUUUUCUGUGAAUGAAAUUUUUUGUGUGGCAUCACACAAGCCUCUAUAUGUAUGAGAUAGCAUGGCAGAACCGAAGCUAUAUUUUGGAUGCUGAGGUAAAGAUUCAUCUACCAUAUUCUCUACAAAGUAGAUGAGACCAAGGAGAACUACGUCCCUGUGUGAAUUUGGAAACAUAGUCCCGAGGAGCCACAACAAAUAUGCAAACAGAUGUCUUUUCCUCUUCUCAGAAUCAGCUGGUUAGAUAAACAAUGAAUGUUUGCACGAAGCCACGUGAGUGGGACGCCCUGAGGGCCACCAGAACAUUGUGAUUCUGGCAUUGUCAUCCCAAGAUGGGCUGAGAUAUUUAAUGCCCAAGAUGGAGACACUCACAGAGAAACUAACGGCUCACCCCUAAUUGGUAGAGCAGUGAUCGUAGAAACAUCUUUCAGUUUAGGUGCAAGCUCCCCAAGACGAAAGUGAAAGGUGUGGGUUUCAAGUCUCCAUCGGUCAACGAGGGAUGUCAAAAGGGAUGGGUCCGAACGUAAUUAGUCUUCGGAUGAUGUGAGCCUAGCAUAACCAUGUAGUCCAUAAGCCUCAAGGUGAGGAAUGAAAGAAUCGUGUAUUGACCAUGUGUUCUUUACGGUUCGAAGUCUGAAAGUCCGAGGAUCAUUAUCAUUAUUUGUGUUCAA
Long non-coding RNA from Aegilops tauschii subsp. strangulata, 3321 nucleotides. RefSeq lists it as uncharacterized. The record is from RefSeq and is a predicted model, not a curated record. Lineage: Eukaryota; Viridiplantae; Streptophyta; Magnoliopsida; Poales; Poaceae.